RNAcentral lists this long non-coding RNA (365 nucleotides) under Amborella trichopoda. RNAcentral's name for it is "long non-coding RNA (ATRI_LNC005367)". Lineage: Eukaryota; Viridiplantae; Streptophyta; Magnoliopsida; Amborellales; Amborellaceae. The record is from RNAcentral.
UACACGAUUACGUGGUUCACCCCGAAGGUCUACGGUCUCGACAAGUAGAAAUCUCUAUCACAAUAAAUAUUACAAUUUUGGGUUACAAGAAAUAUACCUCUCUCUAAACAUCGGUAAAAACCAUUACCGAUAUUCCCUUCCAAACCCGUUCUCUCGACCAAGCAACACCGUCAAUCAAUACCCUUACUUCUCACUGCAAUACCGCUAUCAGAAAGAAAACCUUGAGAGCAACUACUUUGUCUCUCUAAAAGUAAAAGUUAACCAGUCUCAAACUCAUGGAAAUACCGCCUCUCUCUUGGAGGCCAUGUGUCUCUCUCUUGGAGACUCAUCUCUAUAUUGGAGUCCAUUCCCAUAACCCCCAAAGG